AUUUAUGGUGAUUUUCCAAAAUCACAUUACUGCUGUUGUCCCAAGCAGAUUUAUUACAAAUUUACUCUUUCACACAUUCUUUGCAUUCACAUUAUUUAAACAACAAUCAAUUUCAUCACAUAUCUAUAAUUUCACUCAAGCAUAAUCUCAAUACAAUACAUCAUGCUCAAUGAUUCGCACACAACCAUUCAAAUUAGCAAUUAUAAGAUGAUUCCGCACAUAGUCCACCCUUAUCGAUAAUUUACGAUGGUUUUACCCUUACUCACAUAUAUGACAUAGGCAUUUUCACCUAUGCUUCUUAUUUCACAUUCAUGAUUCAAUUCCAAUCGAUCUAACAUGCAUAAGAAUAUAUCACAUACCUGGCCAACUUAAUGCAUUGAACAAAUUCAAUUGCCGAUUUAACACAAGGUCUCAUAGUCUUAGACUUUUAUCAAAUCACCGGCAUUUAGCC
This 451-nucleotide long non-coding RNA is filed under the name Gossypium barbadense (sea-island cotton). RNAcentral's name for it is "long non-coding RNA (GBAR_LNC008881)". The record is from RNAcentral. Lineage: Eukaryota; Viridiplantae; Streptophyta; Magnoliopsida; Malvales; Malvaceae.